This 300-nucleotide long non-coding RNA is filed under the name Mytilus galloprovincialis (Mediterranean mussel). Lineage: Eukaryota; Metazoa; Mollusca; Bivalvia; Mytilida; Mytilidae. The record is from RNAcentral.
CGCUAAUUUUAUUUGAUCCCGUCUCUAAAUAUCACAUUUCAAAAGAAUUUGAUGUAUCACUUAAACCGAGAACUUUCGAACAGAAUAGACCUUUUUGUUCCAGCUACAACGCUUGCAUGUGACAGUCAAAAGCUAUUAGUUAAACCGUAGGUUAAAUUUUAAUUUCUGACAGAUAUUUCUUUAGAAAAUUGGAAAAGGGCGUGACGGGGGAUUAGUUUGAACUGAUAGUAUGUCAUUAGCCAUGUUAAUAUGACACGGGGAAGAUAGUUGUGUCACAAUACAAGUAAAGGCUCUGGUCUG